AAUUAUUAUAAGCCAGGUGAAGAGUUCUUCACUAAGGACUGUGCGCUGCUGUGUAAGUGCAACCCCCCAUUUGUUACCUGUAAUGCUGCUGACUGCCCACCAAUGGAACAAUGUGGAGUACAGGAUGGCGUAAUUGGGUGUUACCCACAAGAAUCUCAAGACUGUAUUAUCUCUGGUGAUCCUCAUUAUAACACCUUUGAUGGCAAAUACUACACCUACAUGGGCACUUGCACCUACACUCUGGCCCU
Molecule: long non-coding RNA, 248 nt
Organism: Cyprinus carpio (common carp)
Lineage: Eukaryota; Metazoa; Chordata; Actinopteri; Cypriniformes; Cyprinidae
Gene: zanl
Exons: 3
Source: RefSeq, a predicted model, not a curated record